RNAcentral lists this ribosomal RNA (503 nucleotides) under uncultured bacterium. RNAcentral's name for it is "partial 16S ribosomal RNA". It matches the Rfam family "Bacterial small subunit ribosomal RNA", at positions 29 to 507 of the family's 1533-position model. The record is from RNAcentral.
AACGAACGCUGGCGGCGUGCCUAACACAUGCAAGUCGAACGAGAAAGGGGCUUCGGCUCCGAGUAAAGUGGCGCACGGGUGAGUAACACGUGGUUAACCUGCCUCUAAUAUUGGGAUAACUCGCCGAAAGAUGAGCUAAUACCGAAUAAGACCACAGUUCCCGCGGGAACAGGGGUCAAAGGUAGCCUCUGCUUGCAAGCUAUCACUUAGAGAUGGGCCUGCGGACCAUUAGCUAGUUGGUAGGGUAACGGCCUACCAAGGCAAGGAUGGUUAGCUGGUCUGAGAGGCGGAUCAGCCAAACUGGGACUGAGACAAGGUCCAGACUCCUAGGGGAGGCAGCAGGGGGGAAUAUUGCGCAAGGGGCGGAAGCUUGACGCAGCAACGCCGCGUGAGUGAUGAAGGCCAUCGGGUCGUAAAGAUCUGUCGGGAGGAAAGAAUGCUCAUGAGGUUAACAGCCUCGGGAGGUGACGGUACCUUCAAAGGAAGCACCGGCUAACUCUGUG